CCCUUAGAUGUUCUGGGCUGCACGCGUGCUACAAUGGCGUUUCCAGCAAGUCUGCGAACCCGAGAGGGCCAGCGGAUCUUCGAAUUGGCGUCGUGAUCGGGACAGUCGAUUGCAAUUAUUUGACUCAAACGAGGAAUUCCUUGUAAUCACGAUUCAUCAUAUCGCGCUGAAUACGUCCCUGCCCUUUGUACACACCGCCCGUCGCUCCUACCGAUUGAGCGAUCCGGUAAAUGUUUUGGAUUGGUGCCGGGGCGGCUAGCUGCCGGUCGCUACGAAAUUUUGUGAACCUUAUCGCUUAGAGGAAGGAAAAGUCGUAACA
This 319-nucleotide ribosomal RNA is filed under the name uncultured eukaryote. Its description in RNAcentral is "partial 18S ribosomal RNA". It matches the Rfam family "Eukaryotic small subunit ribosomal RNA", at positions 1470 to 1796 of the family's 1831-position model. The record is from RNAcentral.